ACGGAAUAGCCAUUAGAAAUGGUGGGUAAUACUGUAUAAUCCCCGAGGGGGAAAGAUUUAUCGCUAUUAGAUGAGCCUACGUUAGAUUAGCUAGUUGGUGAGGUAAUGGCUUACCAAGGCUAUGAUCUAUAGCUGGUCUGAGAGGACGAUCAGCCACACUGGAACUGAGAUACGGUCCAGACUCCUACGGGAGGCAGCAGUGGGGAAUAUUGGACAAUGGGCGAAAGCCUGAUCCAGCUAUGCCGCGUGAGUGAAGAAGGCCUUCGGGUUGUAAAACUCUUUCAAUAGGGAAGAUAAUGACG
This 302-nucleotide ribosomal RNA is filed under the name uncultured Ehrlichia sp. RNAcentral's name for it is "bacterial SSU rRNA". It matches the Rfam family "Bacterial small subunit ribosomal RNA", at positions 138 to 456 of the family's 1533-position model. Lineage: Bacteria; Pseudomonadati; Pseudomonadota; Alphaproteobacteria; Rickettsiales; Anaplasmataceae. The record is from RNAcentral.